Molecule: ribosomal RNA, 464 nt
Filed under: uncultured bacterium
Lineage: Bacteria
Description: bacterial SSU rRNA
Rfam family: Bacterial small subunit ribosomal RNA
Source: RNAcentral
UCCAGACUCCUACGGGAGGCAGCAGUGAGGAAUAUUGGUCAAUGGGCUAAGGCCUGAACCAGCCAAGUCGCGUGAGGGAAGACGGUCCUAUGGAUUGUAAACCUCUUUUGUCGGGGAGCAACGAGGCCACGUGUGGCCGAAGUGAGAGUACCCGAAGAAAAAGCAUCGGCUAACUCCGUGCCAGCAGCCGCGGUAAUACGGAGGAUGCGAGCGUUAUCCGGAUUUAUUGGGUUUAAAGGGUGCGCAGGCGGCACGGCAAGCCGGCGGUCAAAUCGCGGGGCUCAACCCCGCCCAGCCGUCGGAACUGCCGGGCUAGAGUGGGCGAGAAGUGCGCGGAAUGCGUGGUGUAGCGGUGAAAUGCAUAGAUAUCACGCAGAACUCCGAUUGCGAAGGCAGCGCACCGGCGCCCUACUGACGCUCAGGCACGAAAGCGUGGGUAUCGAACAGGAUUAGAUACCCCUGUA